CCGUAGCCCAAGAGAUCGGGAUAACACCUGGAAACAGAUGCUAAUACCGGAUAACAAACAGAUGAUGCCUAUCAACUGUUUAAAAGAUGGUUCUGCUAUCACUCUUGGAUGGACCUGCGGUGCAUUAGCUAGUUGGUAGGGUAACGGCCUACCAAGGCGAUGAUGCAUAGCCGAGUUGAGAGACUGAUCGGCCACAUUGGGACUGAGACACGGCCCAAACUACUACGGGAGGCAGCAGCG
This 240-nucleotide ribosomal RNA is filed under the name uncultured Lactobacillus sp. RNAcentral's name for it is "partial 16S ribosomal RNA". It matches the Rfam family "Bacterial small subunit ribosomal RNA", at positions 125 to 356 of the family's 1533-position model. The record is from RNAcentral. Lineage: Bacteria; Bacillati; Bacillota; Bacilli; Lactobacillales; Lactobacillaceae.